AAAGGACUUCACAUCUUCAAAUCCAGUGAGAUUUGUCCCUUCUUUUUCAGUACUUCGAAAAUGAAGCAAAAGAUGAGCUAGACCCAUUUCUUCAGUGCAUCCAAGACCCAGCGAGAUGCUGCUGUUGUCAACAAGCUGUCGUCAUAUUCCUAAAAUUAGGACUACUCUCCAACCUUUGAGAACGACUGUUCUGUGGUUUCAAUAAAAACUUUGAGGAGAAAUAUAGCAUC
Sebastes umbrosus (honeycomb rockfish) is the source of this 230-nucleotide long non-coding RNA. RefSeq lists it as uncharacterized. The record is from RefSeq and is a predicted model, not a curated record. The transcript is spliced from 2 exons. Lineage: Eukaryota; Metazoa; Chordata; Actinopteri; Perciformes; Sebastidae.